CAGCAGCCGCGGGAAUACAGAGGAUGCAAGCGUUAUCUGGGAUGAUUGGGCGUAAAGCGACUGUAGGUGGCUUUUCAAGUCUGCAGUCAAAUCCCCGGGCUCAACCUGGGAACUGCAUUUGUGACUGGCAAGCUAGAGUAUGGCAGAGGGGGGUGGAAUUCCGCGUGUAGCAGUGAAAUGCGUAGAUAUGCGGAGGAACACCGAUGGCGAAGGCAGCCCCCUGGGCCAAUACUGACGCUCAUGCACGAAAGCGUGGGGAGCAAACAGGAUUAGAUACCCCAGUAGUCCCUGUCUCUUAUAC
Molecule: ribosomal RNA, 301 nt
Filed under: uncultured bacterium
Lineage: Bacteria
Description: partial 16S ribosomal RNA
Rfam family: Bacterial small subunit ribosomal RNA
Source: RNAcentral